CUCAGGACGAACGCUGGCGGCGUGCCUAAUACAUGCAAGUCGAGCGAGGGUUUUCGGACCCUAGCGGCGGACGGGUGAGUAACACGUAGGCAACCUGCCUCUCAGACCGGGAUAACAUAGGGAAACUUAUGCUAAUACCGGAUAGGUUUUUGGAUUGCAUGAUCCGAAAAGAAAAGAUGGCUUCGGCUAUCACUGGGAGAUGGGCCUGCAGCGCAUUAGCUAGUUGGUGGGGUAACGGCCUACCAAGGCGACGAUGCGUAGCCGACCUGGGAGGGUGACCGGCCACACUGGGACUGAGACACGGCCCAGACUCCUAUGGGAGGCUGCAGUAGGGAAUUUUCCACAAUGGACGAAAGUCUGAUGGAGCAACGCCGCGUGAACGAUGAAGGUCUUCGGAUUGUAAAGUUCUGUUGUCAGGGACGAACACGUGCCGUUCGAAUAGGGCGGUACCUUGACGGUACCUGACGAGAAAGCCACGACUAACUACGUGCCAGCAGCCGCGGUAAUACGUAGGUGGCAAGCGUUGUCCGGAUUUAUUGGGCGUAAAGCGCGCGCAGGCGGCUAUGUAAGUCUGGUGUUAAAGCCCGGAGCUCAACUCCGGUUCGCAUCGGAAACUGUGUAGCUUGAGUGCAGAAGAGGAAAG
RNAcentral lists this ribosomal RNA (643 nucleotides) under Brevibacillus parabrevis. Its description in RNAcentral is "bacterial SSU rRNA". It matches the Rfam family "Bacterial small subunit ribosomal RNA", at positions 23 to 661 of the family's 1533-position model. The record is from RNAcentral. Lineage: Bacteria; Bacillati; Bacillota; Bacilli; Caryophanales; Paenibacillaceae.